UACGUAGGGUGCGAGCGUUGUCCGGAAUUACUGGGCGUAAAGAGCUCGUAGGUGGUUUGUCGCGUUGUCCGUGAAAACUCACAACUCAAUUGUGGGCGUGCGGGCGAUACGGGCAGACUGGAGUACUGCAGGGGAGACUGGAAUUCCUGGUGUAGCGGUGGAAUGCGCAGAUAUCAGGAGGAACACCGGUGGCGAAGGCGGGUCUCUGGGCCUUACCUGACGCUGAGGAGCGAAAGCGUGGGGAGCGAACAGG
RNAcentral lists this ribosomal RNA (253 nucleotides) under uncultured bacterium. RNAcentral's name for it is "partial 16S ribosomal RNA". It matches the Rfam family "Bacterial small subunit ribosomal RNA", at positions 524 to 776 of the family's 1533-position model. The record is from RNAcentral.